Molecule: long non-coding RNA, 880 nt
Organism: Mauremys mutica (yellowpond turtle)
Lineage: Eukaryota; Metazoa; Chordata; Testudines; Geoemydidae
Exons: 4
Source: RefSeq, a predicted model, not a curated record
GAUUUUGAGAAAAAGAGGAUGGCCUGGUGAAUUGAAGGAAUGUGGAGACCUGGAGGUGAGGCUAAAAGGGCCUUAAGGAGUGACAGAAAUGAGUCCUGGAGGGAGGAGAAGAAAGCAAGCACCUUGACCCCGGUGCCCACACCGCAAGCCUGGCACCCCAGAGGGUCGACUGGGUCGCCUGCCCCUAAAUCUGGCUCUGGCUACAUACAAAAACAGUGAAAUUGAAAUGAUGCUAAUGGCCUCCUGUGAAGUAAUUCCACCAGCCAAGAAAAAUUAAUAGAUCCUCAUUGCACAGGGGAACAUAGGAGCUGAAUUUAACAAAGAACCUGCUGUCAAGGUAACUCCACUGAUUUCAAUGAGGCAGUCUAGUCCUCUCCAUCUUUCACCUGCUGCCUGAUCUGUCUCCCUGCCUCACAUCUGGAAACAACAGGUAAUAAUCAGUUAAUACAGAUAACAACAGCAUCACACAGCCGAAUCCCUGAAAUAUGCUGAAGAGGCAAGCUGCACUGAAGACAGAGGACAAAGCUGGAUGUUGAAUUUACUUACCUCUAAUAUCUCGCCGCAUAUCUCUAAUGUGGAAUACAGUUUCUGAAAUUUGCAAAACCUCAGAUGCCAUGAUUCAUCGUUAGCCUUAAGAACAUUUGGAUGGAGCCUGAUUUUCCAUUGCCCUGCACUUCCUUGUUGGCCCUUACGGCAGUGCAAAGCAAAUGCAACAUGCAAACAUUCUGAAUAUUAGAUGAAAUCUACGUACUUCAGAACACAACUUUUAAUUUCCUCUGUACCCACUCACUUUACAAGACGGCUAAUAUUCUAAUCAGGACUCAGAUACUCGGUACUGUGCUGUAAAUUGUAAGUGUGAUGAUGGAUUACUAAUGGGCAA